This 515-nucleotide ribosomal RNA is filed under the name uncultured bacterium. RNAcentral's name for it is "bacterial SSU rRNA". It matches the Rfam family "Bacterial small subunit ribosomal RNA", at positions 20 to 518 of the family's 1533-position model. The record is from RNAcentral.
UGGCUCAGAUUGAACGCUGGCGGCGUGCUUAACACAUGCAAGUCGCGCGUGAAAGGACUUCGGUCCGAGGUAAAGCGGCGCACGGGUGAGUAACGCGUGGAUGAUCUACCCAUGAGUUAGGAAUAACGGCUGGAAACGGUCGCUAAUACCAAAUACGCUCCGAUUUCAACUUCGGGGGGAAAGGUGGCCUCUGCUUGCAAGCUACUGCUCAUGGAUGAGUCCGCGUCCCAUUAGCUAGUUGGUGGGGUAACGGCCCACCAAGGCGACGAUGGGUAGCCGGUCUGAGAGGAUGACCGGCCACACUGGGACUGGAACACGGCCCAGACUCCUACGGGAGGCAGCAGUGGGGAAUAUUGCGCAAUGGGCGAAAGCCUGACGCAGCGACGCCGCGUGAGGGAUGAAGGUCCUCGGAUCGUAAACCUCUGUCAGGAGGGAAGAACCGCCACGGUGCUAAUCAGCCGUGGUCUGACGGUACCUCCAAAGGAAGCACCGGCUAACUCCGUGCCAGCAGCCGC